Molecule: ribosomal RNA, 239 nt
Filed under: uncultured bacterium
Lineage: Bacteria
Description: partial 16S ribosomal RNA
Rfam family: Bacterial small subunit ribosomal RNA
Source: RNAcentral
GAAUCAUGGCUCAGGAUGAACGCUGGCGGCGUGCCUAACACAUGCAAGUCGAACGAGGUAAAUAAGAGGAAGUUUUCGGAUGGAAUCGUAUUUACCGAGUGGCGGACGGGUGAGUAACGCGUGGAUAACCUGCCUCAUACAGGGGGAUAACAGUUAGAAAUGACUGCUAAUACCGCAUAAGCGCACAGUACCGCAUGGUACGGUGUGAAAAACUCCGGUGGUAUGAGAUGGAUCCGCGU